UACAGAGGGUGCAAGCGUUGUUCGGAAUUAUUGGGCGUAAAGCGCGUGUAGGCGGCUUGGCAAGUUAGAUGUGAAAGUCCUGGGCUUAACCUGGGGACUGCAUUUGAUACUGAUUGGCUUGAAUGCAGGAGAGGAUAGCGGAAUUCCCAGUGUAGAGGUGAAAUUCGUAGAUAUUGGGAAGAACACCGGUGGCGAAGGCGGCUAUCUGGACUGUGAUUGACGCUGAGGCGCGAAAGCGUGGGGAGCAAACAGG
Molecule: ribosomal RNA, 253 nt
Filed under: uncultured bacterium
Lineage: Bacteria
Description: partial 16S ribosomal RNA
Rfam family: Bacterial small subunit ribosomal RNA
Source: RNAcentral